Molecule: microRNA, 22 nt
Filed under: Gallus gallus (chicken)
Lineage: Eukaryota; Metazoa; Chordata; Aves; Galliformes; Phasianidae
Description: gga-miR-6630-3p
Source: miRBase by way of RNAcentral
CUGCACAAACCGAAGGCUUUUU